CUUCCGUAGGGGUAACCUGCGGAAGGAUCAUUAUCGAGUUUUGAACGGGUUGUCUGCUGGCUCGCAAGGGCAUGUGCACGCCUGUCUCAUCCACUCUCAACUUCUGUGCACUUUUCAUAGGCCGGCUUGUGGGUGCGUUCGCGCACUUGUAGGUGUCGGGCUUAUGCUUUACUACAAACGAUUCAGUUUUAGAAUGUCAUACUUUGCUAUAACGCAAUUAUAUACAACUUUCAGCAACGGAUCUCUUGGCUCUCGCAUCGAUGAAGAACGCAGCGAAAUGCGAUAAGUAAUGUGAAUUGCAGAAUUCAGUGAAUCAUCGAAUCUUUGAACGCACCUUGCGCUCCUUGGUAUUCCGAGGAGCAUGCCUGUUUGAGUCUCAUGGAAUUCUCAACCUUCAGCUUUAUUGAUGAAGGCUUGGACUUGGAGGUCGUGCCGGCUCUCGUAGUCGGCUCCUCUGAAAUGCAUUAGUGCGAACGUUACCAGCCGCUUCAGCGUGAUAAUUAUCUGCGUUGCUGUGGAGGGUAUUCUAGUGUUCACGCUUCUAACCGUCUUCGGACAAAUUUCUGAACUCUGAGCUCAAAUCAGGUAGGACUACCCGCUGAACUUAAGCAUAUCAA
RNAcentral lists this ribosomal RNA (617 nucleotides) under Bjerkandera adusta. Its description in RNAcentral is "eukaryotic LSU rRNA". The stretch from base 226 to 379 matches the Rfam family "5.8S ribosomal RNA". Lineage: Eukaryota; Fungi; Basidiomycota; Agaricomycetes; Polyporales; Phanerochaetaceae. The record is from RNAcentral.